Molecule: ribosomal RNA, 466 nt
Filed under: uncultured bacterium
Lineage: Bacteria
Description: partial 16S ribosomal RNA
Rfam family: Bacterial small subunit ribosomal RNA
Source: RNAcentral
GACGAACGCUGGCGGCGUGCUUAACACAUGCAAGUCGAACGGAAAGGCCCUGCUUUUGUGGGGUGCUCGAGUGGCGAAAGGGUGAGUAACACGUGAGUAACCUGCCCUUGACUUUGGGAUAACUUCAGGAAACUGGGGCUAAUACCGGAUAGGAGCUCCUGCUGCAUGGUGGGGGUUGGAAAGUUUCGGCGGGUGGGGAUGGACUCGCGGCUUAUCAGCUUGUUGGUGGGGUAGUGGCUUACCAAGGCUUUGACGGGUAGCCGGCCUGCGAGGGUGACCAGCCACUUUACGCGAUUGCUUCGUGGCGGCCUCCUACAGGCGGCAGCAGUCGGCAUUAAUGCACAAUGGUUGGGAGUAUUAAUCAGCAUCGCCGAUUUCGUGAUGACGGCGUUCGGGUGGUAAAUUGCUUUAGAAUGUGGCGAAGGUUUUGUGACUGUAAUGGAUAAAGAAGGAUCGGCUGACUGUC